RNAcentral lists this unclassified non-coding RNA (404 nucleotides) under soil metagenome. RNAcentral's name for it is "partial contains 5.8S ribosomal RNA, internal transcribed spacer 2, and large subunit ribosomal RNA". The stretch from base 1 to 121 matches the Rfam family "5.8S ribosomal RNA", at positions 35 to 154 of the family's 154-position model. The record is from RNAcentral.
GAUGAAGAACGUAGCAAAAUGCGAUACUUGGUGUGAAUUGCAGAAUCCCGUGAACCAUCGAGUUUUUGAACGCAAGUUGCGCCCGAAGCCUUUGGCCGAGGGCACGUCUGCCUGGGCGUCACGCAUCGCGUCGCCCCCCACAAAUUCUCCGUCAGGGGAGCUUGUGUUUCGGGGGCGGAUACUGGUCUCCCGUGCUCAUGGCGCGGUUGGCCGAAAUAGGAGUCCCUUCGAUGGACGCACGAACUAGUGGUGGUCGUAAAAACCCUCGUCUUUUGUUUCGUGCCGUUAGUCGCGAGGGAAGCUCUUCAAAAACCCCAACGCGUCGUCUCUUGACGGCGCUUCGACCGCGACCCCAGGUCAGGCGGGACUACCCGCUGAGUUUAAGCAUAUCAAUAAGCGGAGGA